UGCAGUCGAACGGCAGCAUGAUCUAGCUUGCUAGAUUGAUGGCGAGUGGCGAACGGGUGAGUAAUACAUCGGAACGUGCCCUGUAGUGGGGGAUAACUAGUCGAAAGAUUAGCUAAUACCGCAUACGACCUGAGGGUGAAAGUGGGGGACCGCAAGGCCUCAUGCUAUAGGAGCGGCCGAUGUCUGAUUAGCUAGUUGGUGAGGUAAAGGCUCACCAAGGCGACGAUCAGUAGCUGGUCUGAGAGGACGAUCAGCCACACUGGGACUGAGACACGGCCCAGACUCCUACGGGAGGCAGCAGUGGGGAAUUUUGGACAAUGGGGGCAACCCUGAUCCAGCAAUGCCGCGUGUGUGAAGAAGGCCUUCGGGUUGUAAAGCACUUUUGUCCGGAAAGAAAUCGCACUUACUAAUAUUAGGUGUGGAUGACGGUACCGGAAGAAUAAGGACCGGCUAACUACGUGCCAGCAGCCGCGGUAAUACGUAGGGUCCAAGCGUUAAUCGGAAUUACUGGGCGUAAAGCGUGCGCAGGCGGUUGUGCAAGACCGAUGUGAAAUCCCCGGGCUUAACCUGGGAAUUGCAUUGGUGACUGCACGGCUAGAGUGUGUCAGAGGGGGGUAGAAUUCCACGUGUAGCAGUGAAAUGCGUAGAGAUGUGGAGGAAUACCGAUGGCGAAGGCAGCCCCCUGGGAUAACACUGACGCUCAUGCACGAAAGCGUGGGGAGCAAACAGGAUUAGAUACCCUGGUAGUCCACGCCCUAAACGAUGUCAACUAGUUGUUGGGGAUUCAUUUCCUUAGUAACGUAGCUAACGCGUGAAGUUGACCGCCUGGGGAGUACGGUCGCAAGAUUAAAACUCAAAGGAAUUGACGGGGACCCGCACAAGCGGUGGAUGAUUGUGGAUUAAUUCGAUGCAACGCGAAAAACCUUACCUACCCUUGACAUGCCACUAACGAAGCAGAGAUGCAUUAGGUGCUCGAAAGAGAAAGUGGACACAGGUGCUGCAUGGCUGUCGUCAGCUCGUGUCGUGAGAAGUUUGGGUUAAGUCCCGCAACGAGCGCAACCCUUGUCUCUAGUUGCUACGAAAGG
Molecule: ribosomal RNA, 1085 nt
Filed under: bacterium
Lineage: Bacteria
Description: bacterial SSU rRNA
Rfam family: Bacterial small subunit ribosomal RNA
Source: RNAcentral